GAUGAACGCUGGCGGCGUGCCUAAUACAUGCAAGUCGAGCGAACAGAUGAGGAGCUUGCUCCUCUGACGUUAGCGGCGGACGGGUGAGUAACACGUGGAUAACCUACCUAUAAGACUGGGAUAACUUCGGGAAACCGGAGCUAAUACCGGAUAAUAUAUUGAACCGCAUGGUUCAAUAGUGAAAGACGGUUUUGCUGUCACUUAUAGAUGGAUCCGCGCCGCAUUAGCUAGUUGGUAAGGUAACGGCUUACUAAGGCAACGAUGCGUAGCCGACCUGAGAGGGUGAUCGGCCACACUGGAACUGAGACACGGUCCAGACUCCUACGGGAGGCAGCAGUAGGGAAUCUUCCGCAAAGGGCGAAAGCCUGACGGAGCAACGCCGCGUGAGUGAUGAAGGUCUUCGGAUCGUAAAACUCUGUUAUUAGGGAAGAACAAAUGUGUAAGUAACUAUGCACGUCUUGACGGUACCUAAUCAGAAAGCCACGGCUAACUACGUG
RNAcentral lists this ribosomal RNA (497 nucleotides) under uncultured bacterium. RNAcentral's name for it is "partial 16S ribosomal RNA". It matches the Rfam family "Bacterial small subunit ribosomal RNA", at positions 28 to 507 of the family's 1533-position model. The record is from RNAcentral.